UUCGUAGGGGGCGAGCGUUGUCCGGAUUUAUUGGGCGUAAAGAGCUCGUAGGCGGCUUGGCAAGUCGGGUGUGAAACCUCCAGGCUUAACCUGGAGACGCCACUCGAUACUGCCAUGGCUAGAGUCCGGUAGGGGACCACGGAAUUCCUGGUGUAGCGGUGAAAUGCGCAGAUAUCAGGAGGAACACCGGUGGCGAAGGCGGUGGUCUGGGCCGGCACUGACGCUGAGGAGCGAAAGCGUGGGUAGCAAACAGG
RNAcentral lists this ribosomal RNA (254 nucleotides) under uncultured bacterium. RNAcentral describes it as "partial 16S ribosomal RNA". It matches the Rfam family "Bacterial small subunit ribosomal RNA", at positions 524 to 776 of the family's 1533-position model. The record is from RNAcentral.